GGGGAUGAUCGGUUUCGACAUCGCCUGCGAAUCUGCGAGAAGCGGGCCGAGGAUGCAGGGUUAUCUCGAGAACGCUCCCUGCAAAAACUAUAGUUGCCGAUUCCAAUCGCAACGACUUCGCCCUCGCUGCAUAAGCGAGCCCGAUAGUCCGUCAGACCGUGGGCGACCCCGCCACGGACCCUGGCGUCAUUUAGGGGUCUUGCUGAACGGUGGCGUCUGGACGCCGUUCGGGACUUUUCCCAGGCUGGGCCCGUCGACUUAGGUGUCUGUGACAAAUGUCGGGGCCGAGUAGAACGUCUUCACAGACUGCGCCCGGAGAAGCCCCAGAGACUCAGUGAUGGACGGGGGUUCGAUUCCCCCCAUCUCCACGC
RNAcentral lists this transfer-messenger RNA (371 nucleotides) under Microbacterium endophyticum. Its description in RNAcentral is "Standard tmRNA". It matches the Rfam family "transfer-messenger RNA". From Rfam's summary of the family: Bacterial tmRNA, also known as 10Sa RNA or SsrA, is named for its dual tRNA and mRNA-like properties. RNAcentral also lists the same sequence under 1 other name. The record is from RNAcentral. Lineage: Bacteria; Bacillati; Actinomycetota; Actinomycetes; Micrococcales; Microbacteriaceae.